Molecule: long non-coding RNA, 1359 nt
Organism: Felis catus (domestic cat)
Lineage: Eukaryota; Metazoa; Chordata; Mammalia; Carnivora; Felidae
Exons: 4
Source: RefSeq, a predicted model, not a curated record
CUUGUUUUAACCAGAGAUACCUGAAGGGCACACAUCUUUCUGUUGAUUCAUAGGUCUGCUCAUAGUCAGCAAGAGACCUGGAUCGUUCUGACUUCCCAGUCUUGAGAAGUGUCCUGUUAUUACCAAUGAGUCUGGGUCCUGGAAUCUGGAAAAAUGCUCUAUGCCUCCUGUGAACAGGACCCAGUGAAUGGAAUGUCGCCCUGGGAUGUGGAAAUCUCAAGUUUCCUGGACGUAGGGAAGUUUAGAAGGGAGAGUCAAAUGAAGAUUCACAGUCUUGAGAUCGCUGCUAAAGGUGACCUAGGAAAAUGCUCCUCUCGCCAAUCAUGGGGAGGGAGCUGAAGAUUAAAUCCUGGAGUCUGCCCCAUUAGAAGAGCAGCAGCCUGGUUUCUGGUGACUACAGCAGCAGCCUUCUACCUGAAGACUGACACUGAGCCCGCUAACCACACAAGCCUCCAGUCGGAGUAAUAAAGACGUGAAAUGCCAUGUUCCAUGGCCUAACAAAGUUGGAGAGGGGAAUAACAGGUAUGGAAUGAAAUGAGAAGUAAAGAGAAAUAUUAAAGAACCCACGGUGAAUAAAUAGGUCAGAGAAUAAUAGAGGAUAUGGGAAAAUUAGCCUCUUGCGAAUUCUUCAAGCGUGUGAAAUACACAUAUUCAUUUAUUGGUUUAUGUGGUAGCCAGCCUUCAAGAUGGCUCCUAAUGAUCCCUGCCUCCUGAUAUUAGCGCCCGGUGUGGUCCCCUCCCACAGCCUAUCAGAGUUGGUCUGUGUGCCCAGUAGAACACUGGAUAAGUGAUGGGAUGUUGACUCUGAUAUUAGGUUAUAAAAGAUGUCAUGGCUUUCAUUUUGGUCACUUUCUCCAUUUCUUGGAUCACUCACUCUGGGAGAUACCAGCUACCAUGCUGUGAGCAGCACUCUGGAGAAGCCCAUGUAAUGAAGAACAUGGUGGUGACAGCAUUCUACUUGUGGUGGAGUCCCAAGUCACACCUCUGCCUGGAAACCUGAACCAUCUGCUCAACUCUUUGCUCCCUGUUAGACUGUAAAUAGACAUCAGUUAUCUAUUGCUGCAGAACAAACCACCCCCCAAAUAAGAGUGAUACCCUCAUGUUUGGGGCCACAAAUAGGAAUUGAUGGAACAGCUGGGGUUGCUAGAACUCUCCAUAUGGCCUUUCAUUGUGGGCUUUAUCACAGUAUGGAAUUCUCCCAGUACCAGUCAGACAAAAAUAGAAGCUGUAAAGCCUCUUGAGGCCUGGGCUCGAAAGUUACACAACAUCACUUCUUCCACAUUCUGUUGGACAAAGCAAAUAAAAAGGCCAGCCCAAAUUCAAAGGGUGGGAGAAAUAAACUGCUUCUUAACAAGACGA